CGGGAGUAACUAUGACUCUCUAAAUUGCAAAAUUUACCUUUGGAGGGAAAAGUUAUCAGGCCUGCACCUGAUAGCUAGUCUUUAAACCAAUAGAUUGCAUCGGUUUAAUAGGCAAGACCGUCAAAUUGCGGGAAAAGGGUCAACAGCCGUUCAGUACCAAGUCUCAGGGGAAACUUUGAGAUGGCCUUGCAAAGGAUAUGGUAAUAAGCUGACGGACAGGGUCCUAACCACGCAGCCAAGUCCUAAGUCAACAUUUCGGUGUUGAUAUGGAUGCAGUUCACAGACUAAAUGUCGGUCGGGGAAGAAUAGGUAUUCUUCUCAUAAGAUAUAGUCGGACCUCUCCUUAAUGGGAGCUGGCGGAUGAAGUGGUGCAACACUAGAGCCGCCGGGAACUAAUAAUAAACAUAAUAUUAGUUUUGGACUAAUCGUAAGGUAGCCAAAUGCCUCGUCA
This 451-nucleotide non-coding RNA is filed under the name Tetrahymena hyperangularis. RNAcentral's name for it is "group I intron". The stretch from base 12 to 355 matches the Rfam family "Group I catalytic intron". From Rfam's summary of the family: Group I catalytic introns are large self-splicing ribozymes. They catalyse their own excision from mRNA, tRNA and rRNA precursors in a wide range of organisms. RNAcentral also lists the same sequence under 1 other name. The record is from RNAcentral. Lineage: Eukaryota; Ciliophora; Oligohymenophorea; Hymenostomatida; Tetrahymenidae.